This is a ribosomal RNA of 2938 nucleotides. It matches the Rfam family "Bacterial large subunit ribosomal RNA". The record is from Rfam.
GGUCAAGCAAAAAAGAGCAUACGGCGAAUGCCUAGGUGCUGCAGGCCGAAGAAGGACGCGGCAAGCUGCGAAAAGCCACGGGAAGCCGCAAGCAGGCAACGAUCCGUGGAUAUCCGAAUGGGGCAACCCGGCGAGGAAAACCCUCGUCACCUAUAACCGAAUCCAUAGGUUAUAGGAGGGCACCAGGGGAACUGAAACAUCUUAGUACCCUGAGGAAAAGAAAGCAACAGCGAUUCCCCGAGUAGCGGCGAGCGAAAAGGGACCAGCCAAAACCUAAACUGCUUGCAGAUUAGGGGUAGCGGGACACUCAUCACAAACCAUUGCUUUAGCCGAAGUGGUCUGGAAAGACCCGUCACAGAAGGUAACAACCCUGUAGGCGAAAAGGCGAGAAGUUUAGAGUGGAUCCCAAGUACUGCGGGACACGAGGAACCCCGUGGGAAACAGGGAGGACCACCUCCCAAGGCUAAAUACCUGCAGCAACCGAUAGUGAUAAGUACCGUGAGGGAAAGGUGAAAAGCACCCCGGAAGGGGAGUGAAAAAGAACCUGAAACCGUAUGCUUACAAGCCAGUCGAAGCACGUUAAAAGUGUGACGGCGUACUUUUUGUAGAACGGACCGGCGAGUUACAUCUAACGGGCAAGGUUAAGUCAGAAAAGACGGAGCCGAAGCGAAAGCAAGUCUUAAUAGGGCGGCAAGUCCGUUGGAGUAGACCCGAAACCGGGUGAUCUACCCAUGUUCAGAGUGAAGCUUUAGUAAAAUAAAGUGGAGGCUCGAACCGACCUUCGUUGAAAAGGAGGCGGAUGAAACGUGGGUAGAGGUGAAAUGCCAAUCGAACCCGGAGAUAGCUGGUUCUCCUCGAAAUAGCUUUAGGGCUAGCCUUGAGAAAAAAAUCCGGAGGUAGAGCACUGACUGGGCUAGGGGCCUUCACCGGUUACCGAACUCAAUCAAACUCCGAAUGCCGGAUUAAAACAUACUCAAGAGUCAGACUAUGGGUGCUAAGGUUCAUAGUCAAAAGGGAAACAGCCCAGACCGUCGGCUAAGGUCCCAAAGACAUGCUAAGUGGAAAAGGAUGUGGGGUUGCACAGACAACCAGGAUGUUGGCUUAGAAGCAGCCACCAUUCAAAGAGUGCGUAAUAGCUCACUGGUCAAGUGGCCCUGCGCCGAAAAUGUAACGGGGCUAAAGCAUGUCACCGAAGCCACGGAUGUCGCAAGACAUGGUAGAGGAGCGUUCCAUAUGCAGCGAAGUCGUACCGUAAGGAGCGGUGGAGCGUAUGGAAGUGAGAAUGCCGGUAUAAGUAAGCGAAAAGGCAGGUGAGAAUCCUGCCCGCCGAAAACCUAAGGAUUCCUGGGGAAGGCUCGUCCGCCCAGGGUAAGCCGGGACCUAAGCCGAGGCCGAAAGGCGUAGGCGAUGGACAAUAGGUUGAAAAUCCUAUGCCACCAAAAGUCGUUAUCAGGAUGGGGUGACACAGGAGGGAAGGCCAAGCGCGCGGAUGGAAAAGCGCGUCCAAGCUCGUAGGGCGUCAGAUAGGCAAAUCCGUCUGACACAAAGCCUGAGAAGUGAUGGGGAGGGAAAACAAGUACCGAAGUGGUUGAACCCAUACUGUCAAGAAAAACCUCUAACGAGACUCAUUGGUGCCCGUACCGCAAACCGACACAGGUAGGUAGGGUGAGAAUCCUAAGGCGCGCGAGAGAACCCUCGUUAAGGAACUCGGCAAAAUGACCCCGUAACUUCGGGAGAAGGGGUGCCUCAUUAACGUGAAGAUUUAUACAUUCGGAGCGUGAAGAGGCCGCAGAGAAAAGGCCCAAGCGACUGUUUACCAAAAACACAGGUUCCUGCUAAAUCGCUAAGAUGAAGUAUAGGAGCUGACGCCUGCCCGGUGCCGGAAGGUUAAGAGGAGAGGUCAGGGGAAACUCGAAGCUUUGAAUUGAAGCCCCGGUAAACGGCGGCCGUAACUAUAACGGUCCUAAGGUAGCGAAAUUCCUUGUCAGGUAAGUUCUGACCCGCACGAAAGGCGUAACGAUUUGGGCACUGUCUCAACGAGGGGCUCGGUGAAAUUGAACUGCCGGUAAAGAUGCCGGCUAACUGCGAUAGGACAGAAAGACCCCGUGGAGCUUUACUGCAGCUUGAUAUUGGAUUUUGGUAUUGCAUGUACAGGAUAGGUGGGAGGCGGAGAAGCCAGGGCGCCAGCCUUGGCGGAGCCAACGUUGGGAUACCACCCUUGCAGUAUUGAAGUUCUAACAUACGGCCUUGAAUCAGGCCGGUGGACAUUGUCAGGCGGGCAGUUUGACUGGGGCGGUCGCCUCCCAAAAAGUAACGGAGGCGCCCAAAGGUUCCCUCAGCGCGGUUGGAAAUCGCGCUCACAGAGUGCAAAGGCAAAAGGGAGCUUGACUGCGAGACAUACAGGUCGAGCAGGGACGAAAGUCGGGCUUAGUGAUCCGGCGGUAUCGAGUGGAAGAGCCGUCGCUCAACGGAUAAAAGCUACCCCGGGGAUAACAGGCUUAUCUCCCCCAAGAGUUCACAUCGACGGGGAGGUUUGGCACCUCGAUGUCGGCUCAUCGCAUCCUGGGGCUGUAGUAGGUCCCAAGGGUUGGGCUGUUCGCCCAUUAAAGCGGUACGUGAGCUGGGUUCAGAACGUCGUGAGACAGUUCGGUCCCUAUCCAUCGCAGUCGCAGGAAACUUGCAAGGAGCUGUCCCUAGUACGAGAGGACCGGGAUGGACGGAUCACUGGUGUACCGGUUGUCGCGCCAGCGGCAAUGCCGGGUAGUUAUAUCCGGAAGGGAUAAGCGCUGAAAGCAUCUAAGCGCGAAGCCCACCUUAAGAUUAGGUUUCCCUUCUAAAAGAAUAAGACCCCUGGAAGACCACCAGGUAGAUAGGCCGGGUGUGUAAGCAUAGUAAUGUGUUUAGCUGACCGGUACUAAUAGGUCGAACGCUUGACCUA